AACGAACGCUGGCGGCAGGCUUAACACAUGCAAGUCGAACGCAUCCUUCGGGGUGAGUGGCAGACGGGUGAGUAACGCGUGGGAACGUGCCCUUCAGUUCGGGAUAACCCAGGGAAACUUGGGCUAAUACCGGAUACGUGCGAGAGCAGAAAGAUUUAUCGCUGAAGGAUCGGCCCGCGUCUGAUUAGCUAGUUGGUGGGGUAAUGGCCCACCAAGGCGACGAUCAGUAGCUGGUCUGAGAGGAUGAUCAGCCACAUUGGGACUGAGACACGGCCCAAACUCCUCGGGGAGGCAGAGGUGGGGAAUAUUGGACAAUGGGGGCAAGCCUGAUCCAGCCUUGCCGGGGGAGUGAUGAAGGCCUUAGGUUUGUAAAGCUCUUUCGUCCGGGACGAUAAUGACGGUACCGGAAGAAGAAGCCCCGGCUGACUUCGUGCCAGCAGCCGCCGUAA
Molecule: ribosomal RNA, 449 nt
Filed under: uncultured bacterium
Lineage: Bacteria
Description: partial 16S ribosomal RNA
Rfam family: Bacterial small subunit ribosomal RNA
Source: RNAcentral